RNA transcript from Olea europaea var. sylvestris, 3096 nucleotides. RefSeq lists it as uncharacterized. The record is from RefSeq and is a predicted model, not a curated record. The transcript has 3 exons. NCBI's taxonomy places the organism in Eukaryota, Viridiplantae, Streptophyta, Magnoliopsida, Lamiales, Oleaceae.
UUCUUACCACAUAAAUUUCGCACAAUACUCUUCUAUCAAUUCAAUCCUUCUCUUUCUAAAUUCUAGCCAUUGUUUUGCAGAACGAAUUCUCCCCAAAAUCUUGUUUUCUCUGAAAAAAAAAAAGGUCGUCCUUCUACCAUUAUUCGCUUUUGCCUUUAGCCUAAUUCGUAUUUUCUCGUCAUCAAUAGUGGAGAAGAAAAUUCUAGAAGUUGCAACAAUUAUUUUGGAUGAAAAUCUAGCUGGGUUCGUCUUCCUUUAGCUCCAUAUAAGGUAUGUUCUCGUUUCUGUACAUGCAUGAAAAUAUAUCUACGUUUACAUAUUCAUGGUUCAUGAGGUUGAAGGUCAUGAAUUUUCGCUGUUUCGAAGCUGGUGAGGAAUCAACUAUCAUCAUUCAUAGCCAACUUCAACAAUUUCAAAUCACUAUUUCACUCCAUUUUUCAUUCACUGUAGAAGAAAAUGAAAUUGCACUGGACGCAGAAAAAAAUGUUAAUAGAGGGUGAAAAUUAUAUAGAUGUGUACAUACACAUUUAGAGACAUACAUGUUUACGUGUGUGAGGAAAGGGGAUUACUUUUCUUUGUAUAGAAUAUAUUUUAUUUAAUUAGUAUAUAAUAAUAAAAUAGUAUCUGCCUUUACUAUAAGAGAGGAGAUUGUCCAAGUUAUUGUUUAUGUUUGGCACAAUUUCACACGUAACAAGUUUCUUCCUUUAGUAUGUAGACUAGAGAUAUUUUUUUCUUAUUCUUAUCUAAUAUGAAAAUUAUUUAAGUUGAAAACGCCCAACUUUGUAUGAACUUUAAAAAUUCUUUAAAAUAUAUGUGUUGGAGACAUGUAGUUUUAUAUUAACUUUAAAGAUGAAUAAAAUUUGAAUUGAAGGCGCCGUGUAGUAUUUAGUGCCAUGCCUUGAUUUUUUAUAAAUUGAUAGAUGACUGUGGUAGAUAGAAGUCUUGUCUAAGUUAAAUAGUUAUAAUGGAAGUGUAUUUAUAGGGAAAUUUAUUCUGUAGGUUGCUUUGAAUUAGAAUUUCGAAUAUUCCAAGAGAGAAGCUCGAGUACCAUACUUUUUCAUUGAAAAAGAUACUUUGUUAGAGCUUAUUAAGGCAGAAAUUCAUAGAUGGAAAUCUUUUAUUACUUGCUGCCCGAAUUCUUUUGUGCAUUUCCAGUCGUCCACUUAUGAAUUUAUUAAGUUUAUGAUUGUUGAUAAAUUACUUACAUUAUAACUUUAGAAAUAGAUUGCAUAUGUAGGUUGAUUGGGUGGAAGCAAAACCACUAAAUUUAUAGAUGAAAAAUAUUUUCUUUUUAGAAGUCUUUAUUUUCUCACUCUUCGGUAGUAGUAUAGCAAAAACUUUUACAACAUUACAAUAGUAUUUAUGUUUUUUUUUUAAAAACUAUUAAUUUUACAAGAAUCAUAUAAAAAUGUUAAUCUUUUAUUCCUGCUUUUACAUCAUAUAAGUCUUAUUAAAAUUUUAUUUCAUCAAUAGUUCAGUCAACAAUGUUUAUAUUUAUUGCUAUUGCUUUGAAGUAAACAAUUUUUUUUAUUAAACUUCAGCUUUAUGCAUGUUUUUAAUGUUGUGAGAGUCUGGUUCACUUGUGUCUAUCGAAUAUUUUUCCUAUUGUGGAAACUUAGUAGUAUUAUUAAUUUUUUAAUUAUUUCAUUCACUAAAAUGAAAAUUCUUUGCUUUCGUUAAACUAGAGGUGAAGAUAUUUUCCCCAUGGAUUCUUCGAACAUUGAUAGUACUUCUCAAAAUGCAAUUGAAUCGUAUACUGCUUUUAUUCGCCAACAACAAAACCAAAGACAGGCGAAUAGGAGGAAUCGAAUUCAAAGUCCACGUGUUGAUCGUCGUAAAAGAAUAAAUAAUUCCACGUUGCAUCCUAAUUUUCAGGCUUCUACUUCAAAUCAAGCACGUACUAAUAUUGUUCAUUCUAAAGUACAAGGGAUUUCUAACCUAUUAAACAUACCUACUAAUGCAUAUGUAUUACCGACAUGGAACUAUUGUGAACAUUGUGGUGCACGAAAAUUUUAUAGAGAAACUAAAGGGUUCUGUUGCUCUGAUGGAAAAGUUAAACUUUAUAUGCCUGAUUCACCAAUUGAAUUGUAUAAUUUAUUUACUUCUAAAGAACCUGAAUGCAUGGAGUUUAAGAAAAUUUCACGUGGAUAUAAUAACCAUUUUGCAUUCACUUCAUUUGGUGUAAAGUGCGAUACAGACCUUUUUAGAGCAUAUAAAGGUAUUUACACAUUCAGAAUUCAGGGACAAGUAUAUCAUUAUGUAAAUCAACUUCUGCCGGAAAAUAAUCAGCCUUCUUAUAUGCAAUUAUAUUUUUAUGAUACGAAUAACGAAGUUGAAAAUCGUAUGAAAAUUUCAGAAAAUUUUGUUGAAUCUACUUUGAUCAUUUUGAUUAAAAUAUUGAAAAUAAAUCCGUAUAGUAGAUUCUUUAGGUCUUUAAGUAAUAUGACCAAUUUGCACGACCAUCGAAUACAAAUAAGAUGCGAUCCUAGACUUGAUCAAAGAGUCUUCAAUACUCCUUCAACAUCUCAAGUAGCCGCUGUAUAGGUUGAGGAUGAUGACAAUGCAAAUAUUCGUGUUCGUGAUAUUACUAUAUAUGGUCAUUCUGGUGAUUCACAUAAGGUUCACUAUUAUUAUGGUUGUUAUGAUCCUUUGCAAUACCCUUUACUUUUCCCAUUUGGAGAACCUGGUUGGCAUGAAGGUAUUCAGAGAUACAAAAAAACAUAUUUUGAAACUCAGAAUUUACCCGAUUGCGUAGCUUUUCUUAGCGCAGUAAAUUUUGCAACUGAAAUCAUUGCAAAAGAGGCUCAAGUAUUCAAUGGAAUGAGGAAACGAUCACAGGUUUCUUGCCGCGAGUACUAUUCUUACAAGUUACAAAUUAGGCCUUCUAGUAAGUCUGUGUUACUUCAUACUGGUAGACUUUUUCAACAAUAUGUUGUAGAUAUGUAUGUUAAAAUUGAAACUGCCAGAUUAGACUAUUUUCGUAGCAAUCAGAAACAAAUUCGUGCUGAACUUUAUCAAGGUAUUGUGGAUAGUGUUCAAAAUGGGGAAACAAGAGGGUCAAAAAUUGGAAAGAAGAUUGUUCAACCACAAACUUUC